This 6240-nucleotide ribosomal RNA is filed under the name Trachelomonas grandis. RNAcentral's name for it is "23S ribosomal RNA". The stretch from base 1 to 1814 matches the Rfam family "Bacterial large subunit ribosomal RNA". The record is from RNAcentral. Lineage: Eukaryota; Euglenozoa; Euglenophyceae; Euglenales; Euglenaceae.
GAAUAAAGGCUUAUGGUGAAUCAAUUGAUAUUUAAAGGCGAUAAUGGGCGUAGUUACUAGCGAUAUGCUUUGGGGAACUAGAAACUAGUUAUGAUCCAGAGGUUCCCUAUUAGGUAAACCUAUUUAACAUCAUUGAAUUUUUAAAUGUGUGUUGUGAACGUGGUGAACUGAAACAUCUUAGUAACCAUAGGAAAAAAAAGCAAUAGCGAUUUCCUUAUUAGCGGCGAGCUAACAGGAGGAUGUCUAAACCUAUAUGGGUGUUGUGGGUAAUUAAUAUGAUUUAAUUAAUUUUUCUUGAAACUUUUGAAAUGAGUACCUUAGAUGGUUGUAAGUCCAGUAAAGAAUUUGAGAUAAUGUGUCAUUACUUUCCCGAGUAGCAUAGAGCACGAGAAAUUCUGUGUGAAUCUGCGAGGACCACCUCGUAAGGCAAUUAAUACUUUUAAAUAAUCGAUAGUGAAUUAGUACCGUGAGGGAAUUUUGAAAAGAACCUUGAAAAGGGAGUGAAAUAGAACGUGAAAUCAUAAGCUUACAAGCAAUGGGAGAACUAGUUAAAGUUUGACCUUGUGCCUGUUGAAGAAUGCGCCGGCGACUUAUUUAUACUGGCAAGGUUAAGAUUUUUUCUAUCGCAACCGUAGUUAACUCGAGUUUUAAAGAGCGUAAAGUCAGUAUUUAUAGACCCGAACCCGGGUGAUCUAAUCAUGACCAGGAUGAAGUUUCGUUAAAAAGGAAUUGGAGGUCCGAACCCACCAAUGUUGAAAAAUUGGGGGAUGAGUUUUGAUUAGCGGAGAAAUUCCAAUCGAACUCGGAGCUAGCUGGAUCUCUUCGAAAUGCGUUGAGGCGCAGCGAUAAAAUAUGUGUAUUUAAAGGUAGAGCACUGUUUCGACGCGGGCUUUUAUUAGUACUAAGUUGUGGCAAACUUUGAAUUGUAAGUAUAUGUACAUUUUAUACGUUAGACUGUGAGGGAUAAGCUUCAUGGUCAAGAGAGAAACAGCUCAGACUAUUGGAUAAGGCCCCUAAAUAUUUACUAAGUGAUAAAGGAUGUUAAUGUACAUAGACAAUCAGAAGGUUAGCUUAGAAGCAGCGAAUUUUUCCUUUAAAAAGUGCGUAAUAGCUUACUGAUCAAGUGCCUUUGCGCCGAAAAUUAACGGGACUAAGUAAAUUGCCGAAGCCGUAGAAUUUGAAUUAUUGGUAGAAGAGCGUUCUGUUUUGGGGGAAGCAUUAAUGAAAAUCAUUGUGGACAAUACAGAAGUGAGAAUGUCGGCUUAAGUAACGAAAACAUUGGUGAGAAUCCAAUGCUCCGUAAACUCAAGGGUUCCUUUGGUAGGUUCGUCCACGAAGGGUAAGUCAGAGUCUAAGGCUUAGCUAAAUUGCAAUGCUGAUGGUUGACAGGUUAAUAUUCCUGUACUAUAAAUCAUAUAAAUUUUAAGGGUUAAGAGUGACGAAGAAGGUUAAGCUAGUCAAUUUUUGGUUUUUGAUUUAAUAUUUUUACAUGUUGACUAACAUUAGAAAAGAUGUUGGGAAUGAAGAAAUAGAAUACGAUAUUACACUAUGGUGUUCGAAGUAGUUACAUCAUGCUUCCAGGAAAAACUCUAGUAACAUAAAUAAAGAUUUAUAUCUGUACCUUAGACCGACACAGGUGGGUUUGUAAAGUGUACAAAGGAGCGCGAGAUAACACGUUCUAAGGAACUCGGCAAAAUAGCUCUGUAACUUCGGGAGAAAGAGUGCCUUUAUUUAAUAGUAAAGGUUGCAGUUAAAUGACCUAUGCGACUGUUUAACAAAGUGCGACUUGAAAAGGGUUGUUAUUCAUUAAGGAUAAUUCCAUAUUAUCCAAACCAUUCUUCCAUUGUUACUCAAAGCCCUCAAAAGCCUAGGGGAUGAUCUUGAUCAUUAGGAUGGUAACCAAAGACAAUAAGCGGAGGAAGAACGAGCCCCAGAACCCAUCUCUAGGGAGGCAAGGCAGGAGGUAAGAUACUAAACACGGGCCUGACAGGAUCGGGCUUUGAUUCGGAUGGUCAGAACCAGCAAAUCCGUUAAUUGAUAGGUAAAGCUUCGUUCAGACAGUGGUCACGGUAAAAUUAGAGAUUUUCGUGGCAUCACAAAAUAUAGGAUAAAAUGCAUAUAUUAAAAAGCAUGAAUGUGUCACCUAGUGAAUAGGUGCCUAAUACUAGGUAUUAGGUAGCAUGAGUUCGUAGAUUGACUGCGAAAGAUGGAAUGCGCGAAGGCACACGGGGAAUAACGGAGACCAAGAGCGUUUAGUGAGGAAUAACGAUCAACAAUGGAACCCCUCAGGUUGGGCCAGAAAUAGCCCAGGCGAGCCAGCUUAAGCCUUAGCAGGGAGAGAAGAUGGAUGAAAAAAGUAAAAGCCCAGAUUGAAUAAACAAUCAUCGACUGAAAAGGUAAGGAUAUAAUAAUCCGGGAUAAGCCAACUUCAUUCGCUGGGGAUUUUAUAUAGGAAACGGAAAAAUGGAGUAAUCUUAAUUCAACCAAUUAACAGGAAGUGUUAAUGGUAACCAUACAACCAUAGAGUCUGGACAUCAUAAAUAUGAUGGAUUUUGACAAAAAAAAUGUCAGCAAAAGGAAUAAUUCCAAUAAAAAGUACGGUCCCAUGGGCGCCAUCUGAGGAUAUUAUUCGUAUAUAGAUUCUCACGGGCAGAUCGUCAUUGAAAGUUCAAGUUUGAACACAGCAAGUCUUAUAUUUGGAAUUUCUCUUAAGAACGCUAUCUUAGGAAAAAUUCGUAACAUUCCACUAGAUAAAUCAGUUGUCGGAAUCGAUGUCAACAAGUAUCUGUAUCAUAAUGAUAAAGGCUAUCUUAGUGACGAAGUUUAUGAUACCAUGUUUCUCAAUAAAAUUUGUGAACAUUUCGACUUAAUCUGUGAAACUUUGAAUACAAAUGAAAUCCAAUUGGUUUUGGAAGAAUAAUAAUAAAUUAUUUAAAUAAUUUAAAUAGUAUAUAAUUAAUAGUUUAUAUAAUAAUAACUACAUUUAGAAUUGAAGUUUUAUUUAUAUAGUAGACAAAUAUAUGACAUCAAUGAGUCCUUCGAAUAAAAAGAUUACAAAGUUUGAUCGCGAAACGUCUUACUUUAACUUACCAAUAAUACAAGAUUUUAUAUCAGGCAUCCCAACCAAACCUUCAAAAUUGAAGGCCAAGGAUAAAGAAAAAAUGGGACCGUUUGAGAGAUUUUGGGAUAUUGUAGACUGGAAAAAAAUGGAUCUUAUAAUUUAUAGAACCCAACAUCAAAUAUAUAGUUUGCCAAACAACUGCAUAAACUUCCAGGAUGAAAUCAUAAACUCUAACAUUGCUAAAUUAUUAGCAGUUAGAAGAGUUGGUUUCAUAAAUAGAGGAAGAAAAACGGCAGGACUCGAUGGUUUUAAAAAACCCACAAAAAUGGGAGCAAUAAUCAUCGCCUCAAAAUUAAAGGUUGACGGUAAGGCAACCAAUAUUAAGAGGGUUUGGAUAUCCAAGCCAAAAACUAAGGAAAAACGCCCCUUAGGAAUACCAACAUUUCGAGACAGAGCAAAGCAAAUGUUAGUAAAAAUGGCAUUAGAACCCCAAUGGGAAGCUUUCUUUGAUCCGAGAAGUUUUGGUUUUAGGCCUGGAAGAAAAUGCCAUGACGCUACUUGGAAUAUAAGAAACGUCCUUAGAACAGGACCAAGAUAUAUUUACGACGCUGAUAUUGAAAAAUGCUUCGAUAAAAUAUCUCAUAAUUAUUUAAUUGAAAAAAUUAAAUCAAAAGGUAUAGAUGAAUUUCAUCCUAUUACAUUACAAUUGAGAUCUUGGUUAAGAGCUGGAAUUCUUGAUCCCAAAGAAGAACAUAUUAUAUAUCAGGAAGCUGGUACAGCCCAAGGUGGAGUUAUCUCUCCCCUGCUAUGUAAUAUUGCACUCCAUGGGAUGCAUGAAUAUAUAAUUGAAAACCUGAAGUUGAAAAAGGUCAGAUAUAACCAAAUCAUUUCGGUAAAAUUAUAUACAUAUGCUGAUGAUUUAAUACUAAUAUGUCGCCAUAAAAGAGUAUUAUUUUUAUGUAUAGCUUUAAUUGAUGAAUUUCUAGAAAAAAUAGGUCUUAAUAUAAAGGCUAAAAAGACAAGGAAAGUUCAUACAACAAAUAAAGCUAUCACAUAUACAAUAAGCCUUAUUGAUAAGAUCGAUCAAGAUGGUAAAUAUAUCUUUAAAAAAGAUGAAAUUUAUCUUCCUGUUAGAUAUGGUGUAAAACACAGAAUACCCGUAACGAAUAGUUUUAAUUUCUUAGGAUUUAAGUUUUUCUGCUAUAACGUUGGAAAACAUAGACUAAUUAAUUUAGGUAAAGGUGCUUUCUCCCAUGUCAACAUAUUAGUAACACCAACAAUAGAUUCCAUGAAAAAGCAUUUCUCCGUUGUUCGAAAAAUACUACGUAGCUGCACAACUGCUCUAAUGGUGAUAAAGAAAGUAUCCCCUAUUAUAAGAGGAUGGUUAAACUACUACUCAAAAUCUGAUGCAAGGACAGCUGGUCUUGUAGGACUUCUUCGAACACGGAUGAAUCUGAUACUUCUAAAUUGGCAAAAAAGAGUAUUUAACACAAGAAAGCGUAAAUCAAGUUUAUGGGUAAGUGUAAAAGGUGACAAGUGGAGAUUUUAUGCUGAAAGACCGAAAGAUGAUAAAGAUGAAAAUCUAACCCAAUCUCAAAAUCCUGAAAAAAUAUCCAUCUCCUCCAAUAAAAGCAAGAAGACCAAAUUAAAGGAUACAGAUGAAAAUCUUGAUAACAAAAUUUUAUUGCCAUCUCAUUCAGAGCCAAAUUAUAGCCUAAUCAGCUAUAAACCGAUUAGAGGAAAAUCUUCCUUCUAUGAUGGGGACAUUGAAUAUUGGUCGAUAAAACUGAAAACAAUAUUAAAUUUAAGUCCAAAAUUUACAAAGAUCCUUGCAAGACAACACGCUAUAUGCCCUGAAUGUGGUAUAAAAAUUAACAUAUUUGAUGAUCCAGUUGAAAGUACCAUAAAAGUUGGUAAAAAAAAUAAAGACACCGUUUUGCAUAAAGCGUGCAAAACAAGUUUCACCUAUAAGAAUAAAUAAUAUUCAUUAUAAAUACCCAGAGUAGCCGUAUGACAUUCGUGAGAGUCACGUACGGUUUCGGAGUAGAGGGAGUAGCUCUCCCUACUAUAAUAACACAGGUCUCUGUUAAGUUGAAGAAACAAUAUAUGGGGGCUGAUGCCUGCCCAGUGCCGGAAGGUUAAUGAAGUUUGUUAGUAUUAUAAUACAAAGCUUAUGACUUAAGCCCCGGUGAACGGCGGCAGUAACUAUAACUGUCCAAAGGUAGCGAAAUUCAUUGUCAGGUAAGUUCUGACCCGCACGAAAGGCGUCACGAUAUAGGUACUGUCUCGGAACGUGACUCGGUGAAAUAGAAUUGACUGUGAAGAUGCGGUCUAUUUCCACUUGGACAGAAAGACCCUAUGAAGCUUUACUAUUCUUUGACAUUGUUUGCGAUUCUUUUUUGCGCAGUAUAGGUGGGAGACUGUGAUUUACUUUUUUUGGGGGGUAAUGAGUCGAAAUUUGAGAUACCACUCUUUAAAGAGUUGGAAACUAAUGAUAUUAAAUAAAUAUUUGACAUUUUCAGGUUGGUAGUUUUGCUGGGGCGGUAGCCUCCUAAAAGGUAACGGAGGCGUGCAAUGGUUUUCUCAAUCUGGAUGGAAAUCGGAUGAAGAGCAUAAAGGUAUAAGGAAGCUUGACUGUGAGACAGAUAAGUCGAACAGGGACGAAAGUCGGUCUUAGUGAUCCGACAGUUCUGAGUGGAAAGGCUGUCGCUAAACAGAUAAAAGUUACUCUAGGGAUAACAGGCUGAUCUCCCCCAAGAGUUCACAUCGACGGGGAGGUUUGGCACCUCGAUGUCGGCUCAUCGCAUCCUGGGGCAGUAGUAUGUCCCAAGGGUUGGGCUGUUCGCCCAUUAAAGCGGUACGUGAGCUGGGUUCAGAACGUCGAGAGACAGUUCGGUCCAUAUCCGGUGGAAAACGUUAGAGUAUUGAGAACAUUUUUCCUUAGUACGAGAGGACCAGGAAAAACGCACCACUAGUGUACCAGUUUUUGUACCAACAGAAUACGCUGGGUAGUUAUGUGUGGAGUGGAUAAUUGCUGAAAGCAUAUAAGUAAGAAGCCUAGUUCAAGAUGAGUACUCUUUUUAGGUCACGAUAAGAUUAAUCGUUUAAAAUAGGUAUUAAGUGUACAAUUUGUAAAGAUUUUAGCUGAAAUAUACUAAAUGACCAAAAAUUUUAUCCUA